Molecule: ribosomal RNA, 468 nt
Filed under: uncultured bacterium
Lineage: Bacteria
Description: partial 16S ribosomal RNA
Rfam family: Bacterial small subunit ribosomal RNA
Source: RNAcentral
GACGAACGCUGGCGGCGUGCUUAACACAUGCAAGUCGAACGGAAAGGCCCUGCUUUUGUGGGGUGCUCGAGUGGCGAACGGGUGAGUAACACGUGAGUAACCUGCCCUUGACUUUGGGAUAACUUCAGGAAACUGGGGCUAAUACCGGAUAGGAGCUCCUGCUGCAUGGUGGGGGUUGGAAAGUUUCGGCGGUUGGGGAUGGACUCGCGGCUUAUCAGCUUGUUGGUGUGGUAGUGGCUUACCAAGGCUUUGACGGGUAGCCGGCCUGAGAGGGUGACCGGCCACAUUGGGACUGAGAUACGGCCCAGACUCCUACGGGAGGCAGCAGUGGGGAAUAUUGCACAAUGGGCGGAAGCCUGAUGCAGCAACGCCGCGUGCGGGAUGACGGCCUUCGGGUGGUAAACCGCUUUCGCCGGUGACGAAGCGGGAGUGACGGUAAUGGGUAAAGAAGCACCGGCUAACUACGUG